This 127-nucleotide microRNA precursor is filed under the name Myotis brandtii (Brandt's bat). Its description in RNAcentral is "mir-9193 microRNA precursor family". It matches the Rfam family "mir-9193 microRNA precursor family". The record is from Rfam by way of RNAcentral. Lineage: Eukaryota; Metazoa; Chordata; Mammalia; Chiroptera; Vespertilionidae.
CAUGCACUGGUGGGGUCCCUCGGCCUGGCCUGUGCCCUCUCGCAAUCCGGGACCCCUCAGGGGGUGUUGGAGAGCUGGUUUCAGCCCGAUCCCUGCAGGCCAGGCCGAGGGAUCCCACCGGUGCAUG